UCAUCGUAGGUGAACCUGCGGUGGGAUCAUCAAUAGACUAUAACUAUUGUCAAAGUCCUUAGACCUAUUUGGGAUAAGGCAAAACUUAUGAUUUAGUAAGGGCACAAUUUAUUGUCUUUGCGAAUCAACUCUUUACAAUUACAUCUUUAAAACAUUUUUAUUAUAACGUCAAUUUGAUACAACUAUCAAUGGUGGAUCACUUGGCUCUUGCAUCGAUGAAGAACGCAGC
Molecule: unclassified non-coding RNA, 229 nt
Filed under: uncultured fungus
Lineage: Eukaryota; Fungi
Description: sequence contains ITS1, 5.8S rRNA gene
Rfam family: 5.8S ribosomal RNA (bases 181-229)
Source: RNAcentral